AGCCCGGGCACCCUUUGGGGUGCGUCUCUAGAUUUGCAUUCUAGCGUAAAUACCUCCGGACUUG
RNAcentral lists this transfer RNA (64 nucleotides) under Proscelotes eggeli. Its description in RNAcentral is "tRNA-Cys". Lineage: Eukaryota; Metazoa; Chordata; Lepidosauria; Squamata; Scincidae. The record is from RNAcentral.